RNAcentral lists this ribosomal RNA (900 nucleotides) under uncultured Rikenellaceae bacterium. RNAcentral describes it as "bacterial SSU rRNA". It matches the Rfam family "Bacterial small subunit ribosomal RNA", at positions 589 to 1500 of the family's 1533-position model. Lineage: Bacteria; Pseudomonadati; Bacteroidota; Bacteroidia; Bacteroidales; Rikenellaceae. The record is from RNAcentral.
CAGCGGUGAAAUUUUCCGGCUUAACCCGGGAAUCUGCCGUUGAUACUGUGAGUCUAGAGUGCAAAUGGAGUAGGCGGAAUAUGUCAUGUAGCGGUGAAAUGCAUAGAUAUGACAUAGAACACCAAUCGCGAAGGCAGCUUACUAAGAUGCAACUGACACUGAUGCACGAAAGCGUGGGGAUCAAACAGGAUUAGAUACCCUGGUAGUCCACGCUGUAAACGAUGAUAACUCGUUGUCGGCGAUAUACAGUCGGUGACUGAGCGAAAGCGAUAAGUUAUCCACCUGGGGAGUACGAUCGCAAGGUUGAAACUCAAAGGAAUUGACGGGGGCCCGCACAAGCGGAGGAGCAUGUGGUUUAAUUCGAUGAUACGCGAGGAACCUUACCUAGACUUGAACGAAGGGGGAAUAAUGCAGAAAUGUGUUAGCCAGCAAUGGCCGCCUUCGAGGUGCUGCAUGGUUGUCGUCAGCUCGUGCCGUGAGGUGUCAGGUUAAGUCCUAUAACGAGCGCAACCCUUACACUUAGUUGCCAGCAUGUCAUGAUGGGGACUCUAAGUGGACUGCCGGCGCAAGCCGCGAGGAAGGUGGGGAUGACGUCAAAUCAGCACGGCCCUUACGUCUAGGGCGACACACGUGCUACAAUGGUCGGUACAGAGGGCAGCUACACAGCGAUGUGAUGCAAAUCUCAAAAGCCGAUCUCAGUUCGGAUCGGAGUCUGCAACUCGACUCCGUGAAGUUGGAUUCGCUAGUAAUCGCAUAUCAGCCAUGAUGCGGUGAAUACGUUCCCGGGCCUUGUACACACCGCCCGUCAAGCCAUGGAAGUCUGGGGUACCUGAAGUACGUGCCCGCAAGGAGCGUCCUAGGGUAAAACAGGUAACUGGGGCUAAGUCGUAACAAGGUAAC